GAUGAAGAACGUAGCGAAAUGCGAUAAGUAAUGUGAAUUGCAGAAUUCAGUGAAUCAUCGAAUCUUUGAACGCACAUUGCGCCCGCCAGUAUUCUGGCGGGCAUGCCUGUUCGAGCGUUAUUACAACCCUCAGGCCCCCGGGCCUGGCGUUGGGGAUCGGCGGAAGCCCCCUGCGGGCACAACGCCGUCCCCCAAAUACAGUGGCGGUCCCGCCGCAGCUUCCAUUGCGUAGUAGCUAACACCUCGCAACUGGAGAGCGGCGCGGCCACGCCGUAAAACACCCAACUUCUGAAUGUUGACCUCGAAUCAGGUAGGAAUACCCGCUGAACUUAAGCAUAUCAAUAAGCGGAGGA
This 353-nucleotide unclassified non-coding RNA is filed under the name soil metagenome. RNAcentral's name for it is "partial contains 5.8S ribosomal RNA, internal transcribed spacer 2, and large subunit ribosomal RNA". The stretch from base 1 to 120 matches the Rfam family "5.8S ribosomal RNA", at positions 35 to 154 of the family's 154-position model. The record is from RNAcentral.